UACGGAAGGGGCUAGCGUUGUUCGGAAUUACUGGGCGUAAAGCGCACGUAGGCGGCGAUCUAAGUCAGAGGUGAAAGCCCGGGGCUCAACCCCGGAAUAGCCUUUGAGACUGGAUUGCUAGAAUCUUGGAGAGGCGAGUGGAAUUCCGAGUGUAGAGGUGAAAUUCGUAGAUAUUCGGAAGAACACCAGUGGCGAAGGCGGCUCGCUGGACAAGUAUUGACGCUGAGGUGCGAAAGCGUGGGGAGCAAACAGG
This 253-nucleotide ribosomal RNA is filed under the name uncultured bacterium. RNAcentral's name for it is "partial 16S ribosomal RNA". It matches the Rfam family "Bacterial small subunit ribosomal RNA", at positions 524 to 776 of the family's 1533-position model. The record is from RNAcentral.